RNAcentral lists this non-coding RNA (27 nucleotides) under Mus musculus (house mouse). Lineage: Eukaryota; Metazoa; Chordata; Mammalia; Rodentia; Muridae. The record is from RNAcentral.
UGGGACUUUUGCUUCCUGGCCAGUAGG